This is a non-coding RNA of Sus scrofa (pig), 1586 nucleotides long. The record is from RefSeq and is a predicted model, not a curated record. Lineage: Eukaryota; Metazoa; Chordata; Mammalia; Artiodactyla; Suidae.
CCAGAGGGGCGGGGCCCGCGGGGCGGAGCCUUCGAGGGGCGGGGCUGGCGCCAGGGGUGUCCCUCUGUCUACGGCGCUCGGGCGCCCCCCUCACCGCCCGCUAGGGAGGGACCCAGCUCCGCGAGGCCGCCCCCCACCCGCCGCGGCUUGGCUAACGCCCCGGGAAAUGCCGCGAGACUCCUCGAGACCAGAGGAGGGGAGGGAGGGUCCCAGGGCGGAGCGGGGGGGGGUCCUAGUGAGGGGGCACGUGGGAAAAGAGGUGGAAGGAACCGACCGGAGGGUGCGACGGGAGGUGGAAGACAGGCUGGGGGAGGGGAGCCCAUGGGCAGGUGAGGGGCCGAACACCUGCUGAGGGUGAUGACAGGUAAUCCUGGGGUGUCGAGGCAACCCAGAAGAAGGCUUCCUAGCGGGGGCCGUUGGGAAGAAGAGGUUCAUCCUACGGAGGGAGAGAAAUACUAUGUCCCUUCAGUGCAGCGUGGAAACCACAGACCAGGAACCCCACCCAGAAAAACUAGUCUGUGGCCUGUCCAGUUCCAGAAGUGAUUCUCUUCACCAAGGCCAAAGUCACUGGGUCACCUGAUCCCUCUCCUGAAGAGACUCAGACCUCUGAAACUGCCUGGAAAUGUUUCACCGUGGAAAGAGCUGAGCUGGACUUAUAGUGGACUAGCAUGUGGGGCUGAGGAUUCUUGGCCGGCUGGGCCGUGCAUUCUCAGGGCAAUGGGUCCAAAGUCUUUGAAUGUUGCUGGUGAUACCCACUGUGGCUGGAGUUACCUAGACAUCGCAAAGGCCGGUACACCUAAAGCGGCAAACUGGUGACUGAACUCUAGAGGCCUGAGAAAAAGAAGUCAGCAGCUUGUCUUAAUGUCCCAUUUAAUCUUACUCAUCUCUCUGUCCUACUUGGAUUAGACAGUCGUCUUUACUUCUUCUCCCAGUUUCCCACUGGCGAAGACAGGUGACCUCAACUUUUGUGUCUUGUUUUGGCUCUGGUCUAUUUCAGGACAUACCUUUUCCUUCUUGAACCAUAGUCCUUUGUCCCUGCUCCUGGAUCUGGGUAUGCUUCCUGCAUGGACAAAUCUGUCAUUUUAUCACAAAAGGAAAACUGAUAGCAAGACAAAGUUUUUGAAGAUUCCCGGGCUGUGCCCUAAUUUCAAUGCCUUAAGUAAAGUAAGUUGUAUCAACUCUAUCCAAAACACUAUGGACAUUCUGAGUUGCUCCAAAUUACAAAGAUAUACAUUCCUUCCCCUUCAUCCUCCUCACCACCACCCCCCAACACACACACACAUUUAUUGUUUGGCUCUUCUGAAUUUUUCCCUAUUGUCCUUUUAUUCCUCCUUUGAGAUACUUUUGCUGACCAGCACAAGGGAAGUUAAAAUCAAGAAUUAAAUCCAGCUUCUGACAAGAAUAGACAGAGAAUUCCUCAUCCUUCCUGCCUCUUACAAGAGUAUUUUUUAAUAGCAGAGUUAGUAUGCUAUUUCAAAUGUGUGAAUUCAGCUCACAAAUAUGGCUAGAGAAAUACAAUUGUAUUUAAUAUGGGUCUUUGUCCCAUGAACUCCCAUUCCUUCCAGAAUAAAAUGAUGCAUUUUGAG